GUGAAUCAUCGAAUCUUUGAACGCAAAUUGCACUCUCUUCGGAGAGUAUGCCUGUUUGAGGGUCAGUUUAAAUAAAAAUCGGUGUGGUUGCUGCCUUUCGUGGUGACGCACCGGAUGUGGGUCGUCUUGCUUUCGGUUAUGUGACCUAAACUUUUGCAUGAUUUUUUUCGAACGUAUUUAAAUGAUUUUACGUACGUUUGCGAUAUAGAAUACUAGGUGUGGUCAUCCUCAUGCUUCGUGCCUAUAAUUUCUCAU
Molecule: unclassified non-coding RNA, 255 nt
Filed under: Glomeraceae sp.
Lineage: Eukaryota; Fungi; Glomeromycota; Glomeromycetes; Glomerales; Glomeraceae
Description: partial contains 5.8S ribosomal RNA and internal transcribed spacer 2
Rfam family: 5.8S ribosomal RNA (bases 1-65)
Source: RNAcentral